UACCCAGCUUCAAUCAUAAGCACGGGCCCAAUCACUCAGUUAGAACUUACUAAAGAUAGGAAUGAAUGAAUGAAUGAAUGAAUGAAUGGAGUGGACAAAUUAAUAAUGCCGCAUGGAAACAAAGAAGGACAGGAACAUGAAAGUAAAGGAUUGCUUUGUCUGAAAACCAUACAGGCAGUAAAGGGCACACGUCUUCCUGGCACUCGGGGAAGCCGCACUGCCAGCAGCAGCUCUCGAGAGCUAGGACGCUGCACAGAAGGUAUGGGAGCAUCUAAACAGGCUGCACUGCUUGAUGGCUUAAGAUAAAUAUUCAUACUUAAUACUGGUUCUAGGGUAUGAAUUUUUAGACUAUAAUUCUUUAAAAUUUAUUAUAGUUUUAAACUUAAUUGGGUGAAAAUAUUUAUUGGUGGGGGAGGGGAUGCAAUUACCCAAUUACCAAAGCUAGAAUGAAUCCUAGGAGGGAUACUAAAACUAUCUUUAAGUACUGAGAGGAUUUUAUUACAGCAACUCUUAAAACAAUAAUGAAUGUUAUGUGUUCCUCAGCCAUUUUUACAACGGAAGAGAAACACACCUUUUUCAAACAGAAAGCAGAUUUGCGUCUGUGGAGGAAGAAGCAAGAAACGGCUCCAUGCCAACAAAUCCUCCUCACAAACCCCCACCACUAAAAAAAUCACAUUUUCUUUGAACGUUAAGAAAAAGGAGGAGUGGGUGGAGAGGGAAACUCUAGUGAAGCUACAGACAGUACAAUGGAGAGGUGGGAAAUAGCAUUAAAAAUAUGUUGGCAUUUUCCCUAAUGGGGAGUGCUGACAAGUACAAUCCUAUUACUCAAAUCACAUCAGCAAUGAGAUAAAUGAAAUAAAAACAAGAUCUCGUGUGACCAGAGUGGCUAUUUGUCCACAGAUUUUCAUUGCAUUGAAAGUACCCCCAAAAAUGGGACAUAGUAGAAAACAUUGUUAAGGAGGCUUUUAAAACACAUCAUUGAGAUUACAGCACCUUUUAAAAUAAACAGCACUGAAUAGCAACACAGGUAAAAUGUCAUUGUAAGACGGGGUUCCGAUAUUCAACGGCGUGCUUUAUGGCUUUCCAGUGUGUGAUAAAAUCUGUUCACCAGAUGUACUGUAUGUCUCCUGUGUAGCAUACUUGAGCAUCCUGUAGGCCCAAGGCACAUUUAUUUCAUGUAAUUGCCUUUCCUGUGCACACCUUGGGGCACCCUAAUUCUCCAUUUUAUUUCAGGCACUGUACAGGGUACCAUCUGGUAGUUUUAAACUCAUCCCGUUUUAUGGCACUACUGCAGUGGCUAUAUUCAGCUGUACUGCAGGCUUUCGGUGGAGACAGACUUCUUACUACCAGCUAUUUAUUUCUGCCUGAAAUAAAGUAGCCUUGAACUAUCAACAUGCAGGAUUCACACGUAGAUUGUCACCAGUCCAUACGAGCUAGACAGAGAUUCCCAGGCAACCUGCAGACUUGAAGCAUUUCCGAAUUGCUUUACGCACAGCUGUUAACUUAUAGAAUUGGGAUUCUAAAUUCUUCGCCUACUUCUGCACAUAAUGAUAUCUUUUUAGUAUCUCGUUUGUAUUAUUUCAGUUCAGAUGAGCACAAAAAUAAAUGUAUUCCAUCACAUCUGGAAAAGUACCACAGAGAAAUCACUUAAUAUACAAAGCUGCACACCUCAUUACGAGGUUCGUCACUCAUUUCAAACCCAACCUUAUCUCUGUCCCUCAUCAACAUGGCUUUUGUUUUGCUGUUGUUUUCCUUAAACUGUUGAAUCUUUUCUUUUCAAGGGAAUUUGCAAGAUCUUGAAAAGACGAGUUUGGAAAUAAUAUACUUGCAAAAGGAAAAUAAAUCUCAGAAGCACGCAGCUUUUCUGCAGCAGGUCCCCUAUGAGCAUGCCAUCCUCAACUUGUGCACCAGUUAGAUAGGAAGUCACUCUGUUUUCUCUGAGAAUUCAUCUUCUGCUUCUGACCAGCGCCCCCCCGACCCCCCACCAAUGUGCCCACACAGCUGGGCAAGCCACUUUAACAAAGGGUCUCUGAUAUGCAAAUAACACACACCCAGCUGCAUGUUUCCAAAUGAGUCAUUGUUCACCUGCUGGUUCCUGCCUCACCAAAUCCCUCUUGCUGCAUGUGUUAUGCAUUCCCCCUUCUCCUAUCCCUUUCUUCCCUGUGCAACAGCUAAGGUCUGUAGGCCCCCUCGGAAUGGCAAUGAAAAGACUGCAAUGAGAGUGGGCCAGGCCAGUGAUGGGACGAGGUGAGUGAUGAGUUGGCUUGCGAGUCACUGCUGCCUCUUGACAUGUGUGAUCUCGGCAUUGCCCAGGGAGAUUACUAGUCUUUGGCCUGAGACACAGAAAGCCUUCCAGUGUACAAUCUGCUACCUAGCGUCAAUGACUUGCAUAAAUAAAUAAACCAAUCAGGAGAUGCUGGCUUUACUAUUGGCACCUUGGCCUUCAUUAUGGCAAUGGUAACAAUUACAGAUGAAAAAAUAAGGUAGAAAAAGGCUGGAUCUUGACCCGUUUGCCACAGAUUCUUUACAUGUUUUGCAUUUGUGGCAAUGACAAAUGUAGCUAAAUGCACCUGGUUGUAGCUGUCUGCUGUGAUCUAAAGCCUUUUUGAAUGAAAAGAAAAACUCCUUCUGUUAUUUAUUGUUGGAAGCAGAGUUUACUUUGCUGUCUUUCACCUCGGCAGAAAUCAGAAAUGCCAGUUUAACAGCAAGCUGAUGAGCUCUGGGGAACAGAGCAAAGAGUCGUUUGCUGGAGUCUUGUAUAUCAGUAGAAGACCAGUGACCAAAUAGAUUCAUAUUUAUUUUCCUGGAGUUUUCCCCUCUUCUUUGACUCUCAGGCAAUCUUGUUCUAUAAAAAUGUUAAUGCUGGUCUGAAUAUAAUGGGUGAUUUUUUCCCCCACAACUCUGUCAAACAGAUCUUCCCAAUAAUUAAAUGUGCAUCCUUGAGCUCUAAGAGCAGGCUUGUUGAACAAAGCAACCGCAAAUCCAACUAAUCUUUGAAGAAUGAGAGUGUCAAAGUAUAAGCAGAUGUUUUAAUUUGCACAAUGCUGGGAUUUUUUGGAUGCCAAAUGUUCCUAAAAUAGUUAUUGUAUCUAGACAGCAGGAGAAAGAUAUACUCAGAAAUGACCUACACGCCUCUCAGUUACAGACAUUGUUUCCUUCAGCAGAAGUGAUAUUGAAUGUGUUGUUAAGAAAGCUGUAUGUUAAUCAGCAUUUAAUGAGAAGGUAUCACAAUUCUAUGAUUAUAAUAUAUGAGAAAAAGAAAACAAGAGGGCACUACAGAAUUUUAAAGUAAAGUACACACACACACACGCACACACACACACAGUCUUUGUAAAGUCCAUAGCUAAAACAAAGAUGGGACACAAUAAAAGGGCUCAUGUUCCCUUGUGUGGGCAUCAAAUGUUUCUAAAAACGACUUAAGAGAUGCCUGCUAUUAAAGCAAAACAGGAGGAUAUAUACUUUAGCCAUGAAAUUAGCGCAUAAUGUUAUCUAGCCAGUUGAACUUGCAUUGCUUUAGGGAAAUAUUAGCACACGUUUUCCACAAGUGGAUGUAGGCAGGAAAGAUUUAUAUUAGACAUCAGGAAUAAUGUCCUGACUUUCAGAAGAGUUGUGAGAAGCCAAAUAGUUUACCAAAGAAGGCUGUGGAAUUUACCUCCUGGAAAUUUUUAGCAGCAGACAUGAGACCCAUAUGUUUGAGACUAUUUCGGAGUCUUUGAAAUGAAUAGAAUGGUCUUAUUAAGAGUUUCCUAGUCCUUUUCUUUUGUAGCUUGCCUGAGAAGAGGUUAGACAUUCAGUCCACAAAGCCAGGCUUCUCUCCGACCUUCCCCUAUACAUUUCCGAAGACAGAGAAGAGGAAAAAGGAGGUAGAGUCUGGUAUGAGGGCACCAGGGAACAUUUCCUUACUUCACAAUUUGGUGAACUGAGUAGAACUGCCUGACAUCACACAGAGGGUAAACUUCUGCCUAGGGCCAUGGAAAAAGGCAAGAAGGUCCCGUGACCAAGAAAUGACCAGCUCCACAGAGGAAAUGCAGGGCCACUCUCCGACUGGACCCCACUGUGCACAAGCCUGCUCAAUGUGAAGAUGACGAGGAUGAAAACCUUUAUGAUGAUCUACUCCUAUUUAUGUGGACUUGCUCUGGAUUAGGGAUGAGAAGACCUGACUCUACUGUUUUCUUGAUAAGUGACCUUGAACCAGACACAUGUGCUCAAGUUCCAUAUCUGUAAAAUGAAGAUACCUGGCCUUCCUACUUCACAAGGUUCUUUUGAAGAUCAAAUGUAAUACUGCAUAAUAAAGUGACUCAUAAAUUC
RNAcentral lists this long non-coding RNA (4308 nucleotides) under Homo sapiens (human). RNAcentral's name for it is "HSALNT0307393". Lineage: Eukaryota; Metazoa; Chordata; Mammalia; Primates; Hominidae. The record is from RNAcentral.